CAAUAGCAUAUAUUAACGUUGUUGCAGUUGAAAAGCUCGUAGUUGAACUUUUGGUAGGAGCGACCUGGCCUUGGGCGCAUGCCCUUGUUUGCCGUGUGUCGUAUCUGGCCAUCCUUUUCCGUUUCGGCGGGAAUCUUUUACUGUGAGUAAACUGGAGUGCUCAAAACAAGACGUUUGUUUGGUACAUUAAAGCAUGGAAUAAUAAGAUAGGACCUGGUUACUAUUUUGUUGGUUUGCAUAGCUAGGUAAUGAUUAACAGGGACAGUUGGGGGUAUUCGUAUUUAAUUGUCAGAGGUGAAAUUCUUGGAUUUAUGAAAGACGAACGACUGCAAAAGCAUUUACCAAGGAUGUUUUCAUUAA
RNAcentral lists this ribosomal RNA (360 nucleotides) under uncultured eukaryote. RNAcentral describes it as "partial 18S ribosomal RNA". It matches the Rfam family "Eukaryotic small subunit ribosomal RNA", at positions 592 to 976 of the family's 1831-position model. The record is from RNAcentral.